Molecule: non-coding RNA, 72 nt
Filed under: uncultured Intestinimonas sp.
Lineage: Bacteria; Bacillati; Bacillota; Clostridia; Eubacteriales
Description: Glycine riboswitch
Rfam family: Glycine riboswitch aptamer
About the family: This family represents the bacterial glycine riboswitch. Glycine riboswitches usually consist of two metabolite-binding aptamers domains with similar structures in tandem.
Source: RNAcentral
GCAUCGGGAGAGACCGCUUGACUGCGGCGCCGAAGGGGAUUGGCAAAAAAACUCUCAGGCAAAGGUACCGGC